GAUGAACGCUGGCGGCGUGCCUAAUACAUGCAAGUCGAGCGAACAGACGAGGAGCUUGCUCCUCUGACGUUAGCGGCGGACGGGUGAGUAACACGUGGAUAACCUACCUAUAAGACUGGGAUAACUUCGGGAAACCGGAGCUAAUACCGGAUAAUAUAUAGAACCGCAUGGUUCAAUAGUGAAAGACGGUUUUGCUGUCUCUUAUAGAUGGAUCCGCGCCGCAUUAGCUAGUUGGUAAGGUAACGGCUUACCAAGGCAACGAUGCGUAGCCGACCUGAGAGGGUGAUCGGCCACACUGGAACUGAGACACGGUCCAGACUCCUACGGGAGGCAGCAGUAGGGAAUCUUCCGCAAUGGGCGAAAGCCUGACGGAGCAACGCCGCGUGAGUGAUGAAGGUCUUCGGAUCGUAAAACUCUGUUAUUAGGGAAGAACAAAUGUGUAAGUAACUAUGCACGUCUUGACGGUACCUAAUCAGAAAGCCACGGCUAACUACGUG
Molecule: ribosomal RNA, 497 nt
Filed under: uncultured bacterium
Lineage: Bacteria
Description: partial 16S ribosomal RNA
Rfam family: Bacterial small subunit ribosomal RNA
Source: RNAcentral